This 497-nucleotide ribosomal RNA is filed under the name uncultured bacterium. Its description in RNAcentral is "partial 16S ribosomal RNA". It matches the Rfam family "Bacterial small subunit ribosomal RNA", at positions 28 to 507 of the family's 1533-position model. The record is from RNAcentral.
GAUGAACGCUGGCGGCGUGCCUAACACAUGCAAGUCGAGCGAACGGACGAGAAGCUUGCUCUCCUGAUGUUAGCGGCGGACGGGUGAGUAACACGUGGAUAACAUACCUAUAAGACUGGGAUAAUAUCGGGAAAAAGGAGCUAAUAAUGGAUAAUAUUUUGAACGGCUUGGUUCAAAAGUGCUAGACGGUCUUGGCGUCACUUAUAGCUGGAUCCGCGCUGCAUUAGCUAGUUGGUAAGGUAACGGCUUACCAAGGCAACGAUGCAUAGCCGACCUGAGAGGGUGAUCGGCCACACUGGAACUGAGACACGGUCCAGACUCCUACGGGAGGCAGCAGUAGGGAAUCUUCCGCAAUGGGCGAAAGCCUGACGGAGCAACACCGCGUGAGUGAUGAAGGUCUUCGGAUCGUAAAACUCUGUUAUUAGGAAAGAACAUAAGUGUAAGUAACUGUGGACAUCUUGACGGUACCUAAACAGAAAGCCACGGCUAACUUCGUG